Molecule: ribosomal RNA, 468 nt
Filed under: uncultured bacterium
Lineage: Bacteria
Description: partial 16S ribosomal RNA
Rfam family: Bacterial small subunit ribosomal RNA
Source: RNAcentral
GACGAACGCUGGCGGCGUGCUUAACACAUGCAAGUCGAACGGUGAAGCUCCAGCUUGCUGGAGUGGAUCAGUGGCGAACGGGUGAGUAACACGUGAGCAACCUGCCCCUGACUCUGGAAUAAGCGCUGGAAACGGCGUCUAAUACUGGAUACGAGAAGGGUCCGCAUGGGCACUUUCUGGAAAGUUUUUCGGUUGGGGAUGGGCUCGCGGCCUAUCAGCUUGUUGGUGAGGUAAUGGCUCACCAAGGCGACGACGGGUAGCCGGCCUGAGAGGGCGACCGGCCACACUGGGACUGAGACACGGCCCAGACUCCUACGGGAGGCAGCAGUGGGGAAUAUUGCACAAUGGGCGAAAGCCUGAUGCAGCGACGCCGCGUGAGGGAUGACGGCCUUCGGGUUGUAAACCUCUUUCAGCAGGGAAGAAGCGAAAGUGACGGUACCUGCAGAAGAAGCACCGGCUAGCUACGUG